Molecule: ribosomal RNA, 388 nt
Filed under: uncultured bacterium
Lineage: Bacteria
Description: bacterial SSU rRNA
Rfam family: Bacterial small subunit ribosomal RNA
Source: RNAcentral
AACGAACGCUGGCGGCGCGCUUAACACAUGCAAGUCGAACGAGAAGGCGUAGCAAUACGUUUGUAAAGCGGCGAACGGGUGAGGAAUACAUGGGUAACCUACCCUCGAGUGGGGAAUAACUAGCCGAAAGGUUAGCUAAUACCGCGUACGCUUCUUGGACUUCGGUUCAGGGAGGAAAGCGAUGCCGAGGGUAUCGCGCUCUUGGAUGGGCUCAUGUCCUAUCAGCUUGUUGGUGAGGAACGGCUCACCAAGGCUUCGACGGGUAGCUGGUCUGAGAGGACGAUCAGCCACACUGGCACUGCGACACGGGCCAGACUCCUACGGGAGGCAGCAGUAAGGAAUAUUGCGCAAUGGGCGAAAGCCUGACGCAGCGACGCCGCGUGGGGGA